RNAcentral lists this long non-coding RNA (1641 nucleotides) under Homo sapiens (human). RNAcentral's name for it is "HSALNT0380635". The record is from RNAcentral. Lineage: Eukaryota; Metazoa; Chordata; Mammalia; Primates; Hominidae.
ACGAGAUACACAGAUGUCCACCUUAUUUAUUUACUUACUCGUGUUUUUGCAUGUAAGCUACAAAUGUUAUUUUGUGUCUGUUUAAUAUCUGAUAACAUUAUUUAAAGCAGAUAAUUGUAAGACAUGGUACAAGUAAUGGUAAUGACAUAAUUAUUUAAAAAAAUAAUGACACUGCUGACAUCCUUUAGGGCUAUUAGGGCUAUGGAACUAAGCAAUUGGCUGUUUUUCAAAGUGUCCUGAGUUUUCUGUUCCAAUCUAUUAAAUAAAUAAGGUAUUAAAUACUAUGAGAAAACUGAAGUAUAAAAACAGAAGAAAGACCUAAAUCCAGUGCUAAGGAAUUGCAGCUCCUUCAGUGACUCCUUGCCUGAGUGGGGCUGUUUACACAUACAAGGACUCUGUCUUCUGUUUUACACAGGGAAAGACUGCUGACAACUAGCAUUGUGGGAAUUAUCGAUUACUGUUUAUUUAUUGAUCAAGACUAGUAAUAAGACCCAGAAUGGUAAAGAGCCGACUCUGUCCUUGAAAAUGUUCAGAAGAAGCACCAGUGGUGUGUAUUUCCUCAGGAAUUCAGCUUACUGAGCAUUACUCUGUGUUUGUUUCUAUCCUUCCUGUUCAAUCUUUGUUUUUCUUUUGUCAACCCUAUUUGCUCUGAAUAGUUGAAAAAAACAUCCUAGGGUUUGUUAUAAAGUGGGAUCCUAACUCAUGCUGAAUUAAAAGUAAACUACAUGCCCUGGGUACAUUCAUGACCUUAGUUCUCUUAAAACUGAAAUGGAGUGGAAUCGGUAGCCUAAAGGUGAAGCCUUUAAAUCCCUUUAUUACCCAAACCCUUAUAAUCUCUUUGUUUUUAACAAAGUAUACACAAGAACGGUAGCAGAACUUCCCAGUUAACAUGUCGAGAAAUCUCUACUCAGAUAAGAAUCGAGCUCUUUGGGUUUACUCUUUUUGCAAAAUAUUUAAAACCUAGAGAGAUCAUUUAGAUGUUGUUUAUUUUGAUGACCAGAUAGAUUCUUUUGUUUUGUAAAAGCCACAUGCCCAUUUUGCCUUCUUCGGGAAUUUUUGUUCUAGCACCCUAUCAUUAUUUGCUACCAAACUUCAUAUCUUUUGUUUGAAGCAUCUGAAAAUAAAAGUAGUUGUUUAACUAAUUUUCUCUUGAGCUUAAUUUGGCAAUUAUCAAAUCACAUUUGUCAAUACAACCACUGAAUCAAAUGUGACCUAGACAUCAACAUUUUAAAAAGCCUCCGUAACCUUAUGUAUUAUUUCAAGUUAUAGUAGCUACAAGCAAAAUCUUGAUUGGAUCAAUAAGAAACAAAAAUGUGCUCUCCUCUGUCAUUUCAAAGUCAUCUAUUAAAACAACUCAAAUAUAAAAUUUAACUACAUUGGAAUACAAAUAGAACAGCAUAAUGAGGCUUAUGUUUAGAAAUGCAAAGAGCAUUCUGAAAAGUAUUUUAAGAAGAAUUAAUCUAAUUCUCACUAUUAAUAUUCUUCCAUCAUUUGAUUUUUAUUCUUGGACAUGUGGAUGCUAUAAACAAUACAAUGUAAGAUUUAUAAUGCUUUUUUUCUUUCUUUCUCUCUCUUUUCUCCUUUCUUUCUCUUUCUUCUUUCUUUCUUUCUUUUCUUUCUUCCUUCCUUUCUUUCUUUCUU